This is a small nuclear RNA of Hyaena hyaena (striped hyena), 107 nucleotides long. NCBI's taxonomy places the organism in Eukaryota, Metazoa, Chordata, Mammalia, Carnivora, Hyaenidae. The record is from RefSeq and is a predicted model, not a curated record.
GUGCUCGUUUUGGCUGCACACAUACUAAACUUGGAACAAUACAGAGAAGAUUGGCAUGGCCACUGUGCAAGGAUGUCACGGAGAUGCGUGAGGCAUUCCAUAUUUAA